GUGCUCAUUUCAGCAGCACUAAAAUUGAAAUGACAGAAGAUUGGCCCAGCCCCUGAGCAAGGAUGACACAAAAAUUCAUGAUGUGUUCCAUAUAUAU
RNAcentral lists this small nuclear RNA (97 nucleotides) under Lynx canadensis (Canada lynx). Lineage: Eukaryota; Metazoa; Chordata; Mammalia; Carnivora; Felidae. The record is from RNAcentral.